Molecule: long non-coding RNA, 2085 nt
Organism: Pyrgilauda ruficollis (rufous-necked snowfinch)
Lineage: Eukaryota; Metazoa; Chordata; Aves; Passeriformes; Passeridae
Exons: 4
Source: RefSeq, a predicted model, not a curated record
GUGACUGAAUGACCUGCGCUUCUCAAUUUAUUUCUUCUCCUCUGAUGUGUGGUAGUUGGGCAUAUUCAGUUACUGACCAGUUGCAGGGUAAAGCUGGUCUCUUAAACUGAUUGCACGCAUGUGUUUCAUCUGAGCUGUGGAGCAGAAUGUCUUCUCUCUUGAUGUGGUUCACAGCAUACUCAUUAUUGUGGUUUAUGUGUCUCAGCUGGUAGGCAAGGUCUCAACUACUUUCAUUCGCAUGCAGGCUCUUCCACCUUCCACAGAAAAACUCUGAUCUCUCCCAGUUGCAGAGCAUAUUUUUCAAAAACUGUUGCUUUCAGACAAAUCUGAUGAAAUUUUAACAACAGUGAUUCUUCAGACAUCUGUCACAACAUCUGGACAUGGAGUCCUGAGAAUAACUAGCAUACUCCCUCCUGUCCUCCUCAUUCAUACUUAAAAUCAGAAUGGCAAAGUCACUUUACCAGGACUAAACUUGUGCUGAAACACUCUCCCAAACUGGAGCUGAGAUCAGUAACCCUGCACUUUUCCCAGGCUUUGGCCACUCACUGCCAUUGUACUGGGGAUUCUGCAAGUCUGAAGAGGAGAAGUUGAGGUGGCUGUAAAGGAUAAACCACAACAAAGAGCAGAACAAGGUGAGGAGACAAGGUUAAGCCAGAUUGAAGCGUUUCCACACACGUUAACUAUGACUGACAUGAAGAGUCCUCCAAUUCACAUGACUGACAAAAAGGUAAGUUUCAAUAUUACCAUUAUUAUUAUUAUAUCUUUUAAAAGCCAGUAUUGACAAUAUUGAGUCCCACAUUUGCAACCAUAAGGACUGCCCAUGCUGAAUUAGAGAUCUCCUGGCUUAAAAGCCCAUGUAUUGAACAAAGCAAUUGUAGGAAACAAUAUGCACAUGCUGUGUUCUGUGCUCCUGAUAGAAAGCAGAGAGUAUGUCUUCAAAGAGUAAUUAGUACAAGAUGUACACCCUGCCUCCUGUGGACCAUUAAAUAUUGUAUUCCAUAAGAGCCAGACCAAACUUACAGGCAUGCAUAUAUACACUGUUGCUUUCACAGUAAAACUGCUAUUUUUCUGGAAGUGCUGAAGAAAUUAAAAGCUUAGACAUUGUAAGUGCUGGAUUUAUAAUUUUUUUUUCCUUCAGUAGGAUUGUAGUUUGAUGCUCAUAUGGCAUUUUUUAUUCAAAUCUGUGGAAAACAUCAGUCCAGAUAGUCUCCUAAAUUGUGUUUCCCUGGAGUAUUUCAACUUCUGUCUAAUGUUGCCUUUCAUUUUUCACAGACAGCAUAACAUAUAUUAACAGGCACAGCACUAUAUGCGAAAAAAGUCAGUUCUAUCAGUUCUUAUUUUAAUUAGGAAUUCCUCUGGACAUUUAGAUGGGCUAUUAACAGAGACUGUGUCUUUUGGGGCCUUUGAUGUCAAGUCCAUUCUUUCAUGCUAUUUUCACCUAUGGAGAGGAAAUCAUCCUGGUUCAAACAUUGCCAGUAUGUCAGAGGUAUUUCCAAGGAAACAUUUUGAGAGAGUCAGAUCUGUUGAAAAGAAAUCUAAAGAAAAUGGGUAACAAAACAGAAGAAAAUAAGUUGAAAGGAACAGAGUCUAAAAAUGAGCUAGGAGUAGGAUAAAAGGCCAUUUGAAAGAUAGCUGAAAUACUUUGAAAGACUGAAGAAAAAACAAUGAACAAAAAUGUAGAGGGGAAACAGUUCAAAGCUUUCAGCAAUAAAGAGAAAUUAGCAAAAUUAAAAAAAAAGAAACAAACAUUAAAAGUAAAAAAAAAAUGAAAUAAUUAAAGGUAUGAGAGAAUGCAUAUGAAUUGAUUGACAGUAAGAGAAAAGAUGAUAACAGGAAGUGGAUGGUUAUGGCAAUUUAUUUGGAGAGAGAUUAUGUCCUUAACAUUAUCAAGUGGCCAUUAUCUGAGAUUUGCUGACAACUUCAAAGUGAGCAAGGGGUAAAAAUGAAAGACAGAUUGUUUACUUUGGACAUCAAAAAUCUAUGAAUAUUUGUGAGUAAUAAGCUGUAGGUAAACCUGGGUGGUUCUGAACUGAUAACGUCAGGUUUUGGGAAUGGGUUUGUGAGAUAUUGUUUGCGUCAAGUGGA